This is a non-coding RNA of Rhinolophus ferrumequinum (greater horseshoe bat), 74 nucleotides long. Lineage: Eukaryota; Metazoa; Chordata; Mammalia; Chiroptera; Rhinolophidae. The record is from the annotation of a RefSeq genome assembly.
GGCCGGUUAGCUCAGUUGGUUAGAGUGCGAUGCUCGUAACACCAGGGUUGCUGGUUCGAUCCCUGCAUGGGUCA